This 492-nucleotide ribosomal RNA is filed under the name uncultured bacterium. RNAcentral's name for it is "partial 16S ribosomal RNA". It matches the Rfam family "Bacterial small subunit ribosomal RNA", at positions 29 to 507 of the family's 1533-position model. The record is from RNAcentral.
AGUGAACGCUGGCGGUAGGCCUAACACAUGCAAGUCGAACGGCAGCACAGUAAGAGCUUGCUCUUACGGGUGGCGAGUGGCGGACGGGUGAGGAAUACAUCGGAAUCUACUUUUUCGUGGGGGAUAACGUAGGGAAACUUACGCUAAUACCGCAUACGACCUACGGGUGAAAGCAGGGGAUCUUCGGACCUUGCGCGAUUGAAUGAGCCGAUGUCGGAUUAGCUAGUUGGCGGGGUAAAGGCCCACCAAGGCGACGAUCCGUAGCUGGUCUGAGAGGAUGAUCAGCCACACUGGAACUGAGACACGGUCCAGACUCCUACGGGAGGCAGCAGUGGGGAAUCUUGGACAAUGGGCGCAAGCCUGAUCCAGCCAUACCGCGUGAGUGAAGAAGGCCUUCGGGUUGUAAAGCCCUUUUGUUGGGAAAGAAAAGCAGCAGGUUAAUACCCCGCGGUUCUGACGGUACCCAAAGAAUAAGCACCGGCUAACUUCGUG